AACGAACGCUGGCGGCAGGCCUAACACAUGCAAGUCGAACGCCCUAGCAAUAGGGAGUGGCAGACGGGUGAGUAACGCGUGGGAACGUACCCUUCGGUUCGGAAUAACCCAGGGAAACUUGGACUAAUACCGGAUACGUGCGAGAGCAGAAAGAUUUAUCGCCGAAGGAUCGGCCCGCGUCCGAUUAGCUAGUUGGUGAGGUAAUGGCUCACCAAGGCGACGAUCGGUAGCUGGUCGAGAGGAUGAUCAGCCACACUGGGACUGAGACACGGCCCAGACUCCUACGGGAGGCAGCAGUGGGGAAUAUUGGACAAUGGGCGCAAGACCUGAUCCAGCGAUGCCGCGUGUGUGAAG
RNAcentral lists this ribosomal RNA (354 nucleotides) under uncultured bacterium. RNAcentral's name for it is "bacterial SSU rRNA". It matches the Rfam family "Bacterial small subunit ribosomal RNA", at positions 29 to 410 of the family's 1533-position model. The record is from RNAcentral.